Molecule: non-coding RNA, 114 nt
Filed under: Pelagimonas phthalicica
Lineage: Bacteria; Pseudomonadati; Pseudomonadota; Alphaproteobacteria; Rhodobacterales; Roseobacteraceae
Description: TPP riboswitch aptamer (THI element)
Rfam family: TPP riboswitch aptamer (THI element)
About the family: Vitamin B(1) in its active form thiamin pyrophosphate (TPP) is an essential coenzyme that is synthesised by coupling of pyrimidine and thiazole moieties in bacteria. The previously detected thiamin-regulatory element, thi box was extended, resulting in a new, highly conserved RNA secondary structure, the THI element, which is widely distributed in eubacteria and also occurs in some archaea.
Source: Rfam by way of RNAcentral
ACGGCCACCUCGGGGUGCCGGUUUCCGGCUGAGAUGCCCGGUCGCAAGGCCAUGGGUGAACCCGUUGAACCUGACCCGGUUAAUUCCGGCGGAGGAAAGGUCCGGACUUGAGAU